UAGGGAAUCUUCCACAAUGGACGCAAGUCUGAUGGAGCAACGCCGCGUGAGUGAAGAAGGUCUUCGGAUCGUAAAGCUCUGUUGUUGGUGAAGAAGGAUAGAGGCAGUAAAUGGUCUUUAUUUGACGGUAAUCAACCAGAAAGUCACGGCUAACUACGUGCCGGCAGCCGCGGUAAUACGUAGGUGGCAAGCGUUGUCCGGAUUUAUUGGGCGUAAAGCGAGCGCAGGCGGAAUGAUAAGUCUGAUGUGAAAGCCCACGGCUCAACCGUGGAACUGCAUCGGAAACUG
RNAcentral lists this ribosomal RNA (288 nucleotides) under uncultured bacterium. RNAcentral describes it as "partial 16S ribosomal RNA". It matches the Rfam family "Bacterial small subunit ribosomal RNA", at positions 355 to 635 of the family's 1533-position model. The record is from RNAcentral.